RNAcentral lists this ribosomal RNA (489 nucleotides) under uncultured bacterium. RNAcentral describes it as "partial 16S ribosomal RNA". It matches the Rfam family "Bacterial small subunit ribosomal RNA", at positions 28 to 507 of the family's 1533-position model. The record is from RNAcentral.
GAUGAACGCUAGCUACAGGCUUAACACAUGCAAGUCGAGGGGCAGCAUGAACUUAGCUUGCUAAGUUUGAUGGCGACCGGCGCACGGGUGAGUAACACGUAUCCAACCUGCCGAUGACUCGGGGAUAGCCUUUCGAAAGAAAGAUUAAUACCCGAUGGCAUAGUUCUUCCGCAUGGUAGAACUAUUAAAGAAUUUCGGUCAUCGAUGGGGAUGCGUUCCAUUAGGUUGUUGGCGGGGUAACGGCCCACCAAGCCUUCGAUGGAUAGGGGUUCUGAGAGGAAGGUCCCCCACAUUGGAACUGGGACACGGUCCAAACUCCUACGGGAGGCAGCAGUGAGGAAUAUUGGUCAAUGGACGAGAGUCUGAACCAGCCAAGUAGCGUGAAGGAUGACUGCCCUAUGGGUUGUAACCUUCUUUUAUACGGGAAUAAAGUGAGGCACGUGUGCCUUUUUGUAUGUACCGUAUGAAUAAGGAUCGGCUAACUCCGUG